AACGAACGCUGGCGGCAUGCCUAACACAUGCAAGUCGAACGAGACCUUCGGGUCUAGUGGCGCACGGGUGCGUAACGCGUGGGAACCUGCCCUUAGGUUCGGCAUAACUCCCCGAAAGGGGUGCUAAUACCGGAUAAUGUCUUCGGACCAAAGAUGUAUCGCCUUUGGAUGGGGCCGCGUUGGUUUGGCUAGUUGGUAGGGUAAAAGCCUACCAAGGCGACGAUCCAUAGCUGGUCUGAGAGGAUGAUCAGCCACACUGGGACUGAGACACGGCCCAGACUCCUACGGGAGGCAGCAGUGGGGAAUAUUGGACAAUGGGCGAAAGCCUGUUCCAGCAAUGCCGCGUGAGUGAUGAAGGCCGUAGGGUUGUAAAGCUCUUUUACCCGGGAUGAUAAUGACAGUACCGGGAGAAUAAGCUCCGGCUAACUCCGUG
This 433-nucleotide ribosomal RNA is filed under the name uncultured bacterium. RNAcentral describes it as "partial 16S ribosomal RNA". It matches the Rfam family "Bacterial small subunit ribosomal RNA", at positions 29 to 507 of the family's 1533-position model. The record is from RNAcentral.